CCUACGGGGGACAGCAGUCGAGAAUCAUUCACAAUGGGGGAAACCCUGAUGGUGCGACGCCGCGUGGGGGAAUUAAGGUCUUCGGAUUGUAAACCCCUGUCAUGUGGGAGCAAAUUAAAAAGAUAGUACCACAAGAGGAAGAGACGGCUAACUCUGUGCCAGCAGCCGCGGUAAUACAGAGGUCUCAAGCGUUGUUCGGAAUCACUGGGCGUAAGGCGUGCGUAGGCUGUUUCGUAAGUCGUGUGUGAAAGGCGCGGGCUCAACCCGCGGACGGCACAUGAUACUGCGAGACUAGAGUAAUGGAGGGGGAACCGGAAUUCUCGGUGUAGCAGUGAAAUGCGUAGAUAUCGAGAGGAACACUCGUGGCGAAGGCGGGUUCCUGGACAUUAACUGACGCUGAGGCACGAAGGCCAGGGGAGCGAAAGGGAUUAGAUACCCUAGUAGUC
This 446-nucleotide ribosomal RNA is filed under the name uncultured bacterium. RNAcentral's name for it is "partial 16S ribosomal RNA". It matches the Rfam family "Bacterial small subunit ribosomal RNA", at positions 338 to 795 of the family's 1533-position model. The record is from RNAcentral.